GGAGCUUGAUCCCUGAAGUCAUCGAGCGGACGGUUGAGUAACACGUGGGUAACCUGCCUGUAAUACUGGAAUAACUCCGGGAAACCGGAGCUAAUACCGGAUGGUUGAUUGAACCACAUGGUUCAAUCAUAAAAUGUGGCUUCCGCAUCCACCUUCCGAACGAUCCCUAGUUCAUUAGCUAAUUUGCUAAGUAAGCGACCAUCCAUGGCAAAAAUCAUAGGCUAACCGAAAAGGUUAACAGUCACACUCGGACCUAAACCCUACCCAAAACCCCACCGGAGAAUUUUCCACAGGAAACUUACCUCUGAAGAAAAUCCGAACGAGACAACACCACCGUAUGAUAUAAGGUUUUUCGAAUCUAAGAUCUGUUGGUUAGGAAUAAAAGUACCCGUCCAAUUGGGCGGAACCCUUACCGAACCCAACCCUAAAACAUGGCUAAAUACGUGGCAACAACCCCGGUAAUACCGAUGUCGCGAACUAUGGCCCGAAAUAAUGGGCCUAAAGGGCUCGUAAGGCGGUUCUUAAAUCCGAAGGCAAAACCCCCGGGUUCAACCGGGAAGGGUAUGGAAAAUGGGGAAAUUGAAUGGGAAAAAGAAAGUGGAAUUCCACAUUGAACCGAUAAAUGGGUAAAAAAGUGGAAGAAACCCAUUGCCAAAGCCAACUUUGUCUAGAAUUAAGCCUAAGGAGCAAACCUGGGGAACAACCGGAUACCACCCCGGUACCCCACCCUAAACAAUAAGGGCUCUCGUCCGGGGUUCCCCCCCUUAUGGUGAACCAACGCCUUAGGACUCCGCCGGGGAAUAGGUCCCAAGAUUUACUCCAGGAAUUAAAGGGGCCCCAAAGCGUUGAACCAGAGAUUAUUCAAACUACCCGACAACUUAACAGGUGUUGACUCC
Molecule: ribosomal RNA, 896 nt
Filed under: Bacillus subtilis
Lineage: Bacteria; Bacillati; Bacillota; Bacilli; Caryophanales; Bacillaceae
Description: bacterial SSU rRNA
Rfam family: Bacterial small subunit ribosomal RNA
Source: RNAcentral